CCCAGUUUUAGCCUGCUUGCCAUCUCAUGAUUGUCUGUUCUUGGUUUUGCAGCUGGCGGGAGGUUGAUCUUCAGUCUCUGAAGGGGAGUCCUGAUGAGGAGAAUGAAGAGAUUGAGGACCUAUCCGACGCAGCCUUCGCCGCCCUGCAUGCCAAAUGUGAGGAGAUGGAGAGGGCACGGUGGCUGUGGACCACGAGUGUGCCACCCCAGCGGCGGGGCAGCAGGUCCUACAGGUCAUCAGACGGCCGGACAACCCCCCAGCUGGGCAGUGCCAACCCCUCCACCCCCCAGCCUGCCUCCCCUGAUGUCAGCAGUAGCCACUCUUUGUCAGAAUACUCCCAUGGUCAGUCCCCUAGGAG
This 358-nucleotide long non-coding RNA is filed under the name Homo sapiens (human). RNAcentral's name for it is "non-protein coding lnc-ARL17B-2:3". The record is from RNAcentral. Lineage: Eukaryota; Metazoa; Chordata; Mammalia; Primates; Hominidae.